CCUGCACCACAGCUCACGGCAACACGGGAUCCCUCCCCACUGAGCAAGGCCAGGGAUGGAACCCACAUCCUCAUGGAUACUAGUCAGGAUCAGCAGACCCAGGCCAGCAAAGGCUAGCUGGAGCAGCCCCCAAAUUCUGACCAAGGCGCCAGCAGGAACAAAAGGUCUCCAUCCCGAAGCUCGUGCCAUGGCUGGACCAGAGCAGAUGUUCCACAUGUGGUUCUCUGAGUGAGUCCUCGUUCCACCACUUCUUAGCUGGGAGACCUUGAGUAAGAAUGUGGGCACCCUGGCUGGAGCUCCUGAAGCCAUCUUGUGACCUUGAGGAUAGAAGUCAUGGGCCAAGGAUGGGCCAAGCUGAGUGAGAAGUCACCUCCAUACCAGUCCUGAAUUGCCUGCUUUGAAACUUCUUCAUAAAAGAAAUGUGAGACUUCAUUUAAUUUAAGCCACUUUAGUUUUCUCUUUUAGACAGCUAAAUCAAAAUCCGAUACAACAACCACGCAGUUUCAUGCCUCUGAGUUUUUGCAUAGCUGUUCUCUCUGCUAGGAACUUUUCCUUCCAGUCCUCUACCUGGUGAACUUGUAAUCGUGUUUGAAGCUUCCACUGCAGCAUCCCACUCUGUGUGGAAUCCCUUCUAACUGACCCCUCAGGUAGGCAUAAUAUAUGUUUAAUAAAUAUUCAAAUAAUUAAGUAAUAAUUGUUGAAGGAAAACUUCUAAGAAUGAAUGAAAAAUGAAUCAUGUACAUAAAAAUGACAAGGAGGGAGUGCUCUUUGUGGCUUAGCAGUUAUUGAAACUGACAAGGGUCUAUGAGGAUGCAGGUUCGAUCCCUGGACUCGCUCAGUGGGUUAAGGAUCCGGUGUUGCCGUGAGCUGUGGUGUAGGUCACAGAUGGGACUCAGAUCACACGUUGCAGUGGCUGUGGCAUAGGCCAGCAGCUGCAGCUCAGAUUUGACCCCUAGCCUGGGAACCUCCAUGUGCCACAAGUGCAGCCCUAAAAAGCAAAAAAAAAAAAAAAAAAAAAAAAAAAAGACAAGGAGACAGUUAUUCUAGAGUGCUUCUCCUUCGAAGCUUCAACUCUUAGAGGGUCUUCUUUGGUCCCAAAGUCCCAAGGGAUGAGGUGGUAUCAAAACAGGCAGAUAUGGAGAUAUGGCAGGGAUUCGAGUCAACGCUGGGUGUGCUGUAUGACAGAAUUCCCAGUGAGGACAAAAAACAUAGCAAGAGAGAAAAAUGAAGUAAAAACAUAUUCAUGAGAGUUGAAGGAAACACCAACCAUUUUGUACACUUGCCACAAGCUUUUUUUUUCCUACAUUAGAAUUGAUUUCACCCCAAAAUAGCCUUCCUGCUGAGGUGAGCCGCCCAGAGUACCAAGUGAGUCUCUGCAAUGGCAAGGUUGGCAGAGAAGGUACAUGUAAAUUUCCACAUGAGACCUGGGUGAUGAGAAGUCCCUGAACUGCCAAAGCAGGUGAGGGGCGUUGUUGCUCCCCUGGAAAUACUUUGAAGCCAGCACUUGCAGGAAAGGAAUGUCCCCCUCAGCAAGCGAACAAGUAUUUAGCUAAGCAGGGACAAUGAGCUUCUGGAAAAAACAACAACAACAACAGAGCAUAUUAACAUGUUCUCUAUACUUCUCUACAUGGCCAUGAGCAAAGCAAGGAAGAGGGAGACGUGUUUUUUCUACCUAUCAUUUCAGCUCAACAAAUUUUUCUGAGGACCUAAUUAUACUGGGCAGAGAACUGGGUGCUGGGAGUUCCAGAAUGGCCACAAGGCACCCCUGUUCUCAAGCCCUGUUAUCAGGGCCCAGAAGGGGAGCUGAUAUCAUCAUUAUCAUCUUCACUAUUGCCAUCAGCAUCCUGUUCCCAGCCAGGACAUUUAUUCUUUGAGAAUUCACAGCCCAACGGAUGAGACUGAUCUAAAAGCAGAUGUUUGUGAGAUGAUGAGAUAAAUGCAUUUGAUGAAGUAGUAAAGAGGAGAAAGUACUUAUCUGAAGUUCAAGAAAGGUAUAACCAAGAGGGAAAUAGUGAACAAGGUUUUGAAGGAUAAAUAGGAGUUUGCCAGCCUUACACUAAGGUAAGACACUUGCAAGUUCUUUCGUUCCUAGAAAUCUUUAAAUGUGAUUCUGUAUAAUGGACCUCAAUGUUUGAACUAAUUCCUAGAAAGAUUCCUUCAAACAGCACUUUUCAAACAGGAAUAUGCUUAGGGUCACUUAAGAUUUCCGAUUUUAAGUCUGGUCUAAGUCCUCAGAAUUUUCAGUCUGGCAGAGUAGAGCUGCCAUAGGAGGUCCUGAAUGCUCCUGAUGUCUGUAUUUCUCAUGCCAACAAAUAACAAAAGAGUUCUCAGGCAGUACAGGUCUGUGGACCAUGCUUAGAAGAAAAUUCAUGUAAAGUAUCUCAGAUGCUCCAAAAAUGGUCAAAAUUUUUACCAUUUCUUCCACCAGAGCUGCCUCAGGACCCUGGUUCUCACUCACACAUAGAAAUCCCUGUGGAACAUCAACCAUCCCUAUGCCCAGAACAUACCUUGAACAGUUACAUCAGAAUGUCUCAGGAGGGGGG
This 2543-nucleotide long non-coding RNA is filed under the name Sus scrofa (pig). RNAcentral's name for it is "lncRNA (ENSSSCG00055010934.1)". The record is from RNAcentral. Lineage: Eukaryota; Metazoa; Chordata; Mammalia; Artiodactyla; Suidae.